UCCGUAGGCGGCAUAGAAAGUCGGAUGUGAAAUCCCGCAGCUCAACUGCGGAACUGCAUUCGAAACUUCUAAGCUAGAGUGUGAGAGAGGUGAAGGGAAUUCCCGGUGUAAGGGUGAAAUCUGCAGAGAUCGGGAAGAACACCAGUAGCGAAGGCGCUUCACUGGCUCACUACUGACGCUGAGGGACGAAAGCUAGGGUAGCAAACAGGAUUAGAUACCCUGGUAGUC
This 228-nucleotide ribosomal RNA is filed under the name uncultured bacterium. RNAcentral's name for it is "partial 16S ribosomal RNA". It matches the Rfam family "Bacterial small subunit ribosomal RNA", at positions 568 to 795 of the family's 1533-position model. The record is from RNAcentral.